ACGAACGCUGGCGGCGUGCUUAACACCUGCAAGUCGAACGGAAAGGCCCUGCUUUUGUGGGGUGCUCGAGUGGCGAACGGGUGAGUAACACGUGAGUAACCUGCCCUUGACUUUGGGAUAACUUCAGGAAACUGGGGCUAAUACCGGAUAGGAGCUCCUGCUGCAUGGUGGGGGUUGGAAAGUUUCGGCGGUUGGGGAUGGACUCGCGGCUUAUCAGCUUGUUGGUGGGGUAGUGGCUUACCAAGGCUUUGACGGGUAGCCGGCCUGAGAGGGUGACCGGCCACAUUGGGACUGAGAUACGGCCCAGACUCCUACGGGAGGCAGCAGUUGGGAAUAUUGCACAAUGGGCGGAAGCCUGAUGCAGCAACGCCGCGUGCGGGAUGACGGCCUUCGGGUUGUAAACCGCUUUCGCCUGUGACGAAGCGUGAGUGACGGUAAUGGGUAAAGAAGCACCGGCUAACUACGUG
This 467-nucleotide ribosomal RNA is filed under the name uncultured bacterium. RNAcentral describes it as "partial 16S ribosomal RNA". It matches the Rfam family "Bacterial small subunit ribosomal RNA", at positions 29 to 507 of the family's 1533-position model. The record is from RNAcentral.